Molecule: long non-coding RNA, 1934 nt
Filed under: Marmota monax (woodchuck)
Lineage: Eukaryota; Metazoa; Chordata; Mammalia; Rodentia; Sciuridae
Source: RNAcentral
GCCUGGCCACUGUGCCUGGGGAUCCAGGAUUUCAGCCCGGGUGGCUCUCAGAAGAGCAGGAGGACUGGGACCCCAGCAGUACUUGUUAACAGGUUUCCAUCCGUGACCUCCCAGUUCUGUGCUUGGAGCCGUGCCUACUCGUGGUCAUGGAGAGCCUGAGCACCGUCAGCAGGCCCGCUUUUCACAGCCACUUUCCAGUUCCGCACAGAGCUGCUCUGGGGCCACAGACUGAUUGGUCUUUGUCUCCCUGACUUGGUCCCUUCCCGCCAGUGAGGCCAGGGGCUGCUAAGAGGCUGAGCUCCUCCCGUGGAUCCAAGGGCCGAGGCGGUGGCCAGGACGGCAGAGUCUUCUGCUUUCUGACCUGCUAGUUUUUAUUUCUUAACUGUCUCAAGUUGUGUCAUCCUCGGUCUCAAAUCCUCCUUUACCGCAGAGUUGUCUUUAGUACCUCCGUUGUGCUGACACUGCGGUCUGGCCCUUAGGGACUUCACCGUAGUGUGCUCACCUGCAGUCAGCAGUGGGUACCAGGAGAGUUACCGGACCUGUAGAGGAAGACCACCGCCCGUGGUGGUCGGAAUGUCCUCGUGGCGUUCAGCCCAGAGCUCCCCUGGGAAUCUGGUUAUGAAGUCAGAGUCCAGAUCUCAGCUAGAGCAGGGCUGGGAGGAGACGGGUCUGCCUGCCUUCAUGCCUGCUCUGCAGAACCCCAGCACCUGGCAUCAGUCUGCCACCUCAGUUACCCACAUAGGAAAUCGGCACAGGAGGGUGGGUUUGCUCGCCACUGCUGGUGACCGUGUGUGAAGAUGUGCUGACCUGAGUGGGGGGCUCGGCAUGGCCUGGAGGUCCAGAGCGUCACUGUCCGGACACACGACAGACGUCUGUGGGCGCUGGGAGGGGCUUGCUGUCUCCAGCGUGUGAGCAGGUGCUUGGGAGCCCUUCUGCCGGUCACGGCUGGUGCCAGUUGAGGGGUGAACACUGGGGACUGGGCUGCCGUGGUGUGCGUCCCAGUGAGCAUCCCAGCGACAGGUGGCCUGCCUGUACACAGACACCAUGCCUGUAUGGCAGACAGAGGGUGGCUUUUUGAAACUUGACGUGGACAAUGGAAAUAUUUCUCUUGAAAUUGACUGUGAUCCUGACUUGUGGAGAACAGUCAUAGAAGUCUUAGGGAAAUGGCACACUGAGGAAAUGGUCAGCAGUCUCCAUGAUGUUAUUUCUUACAAUUAACGACAGCAUUCGGAGCAGAGCUCAUCUGUGUACACAUAGUGACGGAAACAGGAGCUGACCAGAAUCCCCGCGUCCCUCAGAGGCCCAGAGGAGGCAGACCUGCCGUCCCUGACGCAGCCCUUUCCUGCCCGCAGCUACGUUCAGUCCUGUCUCCUCUGCGCUCCCUGUUUACAGGAGCUCCACUGGGGUCCGUCCCUGUGUACCUGUGUGUGACACCAGCACUGAGUGUCCUCCAGGAGGACUCUGAACAGGGCUGUGGGUGAACGCCCCGUUGCCCCCGAGGUCCAGCCUGCGGGCUGGGGGCAGCCCCCACUGCCCGGUGCGCUCCUCCUCGCGCGGUGGCCAGGAGGCCCGGGUCUCCCUCUCCUUUCCCGGCCGCGUGUGCUCUGCCCUGGGCUGUUUCGGGGGCCUGCUGGCUUCUCUCCUGGCGGCUCCGGCUGUGCCUCUGGCUUGCCGUGGCGGUUCCUGCUUUCCACUUCCAUGGGCACCGCGCCUGCCGCGGGCCUCUCGGUGGGGGCUCUCAUCCUCGUUGUCUUUGGAGAGUCUUGAAGGGACUCCUAGCCUCGCACCAUCCGCACGUCCCUGCCACCUCGGGCCUCGUGCCUUCGUCUGGACCCAGGUGUGGUCGGCACCAUAUUCCGUGAGCUGGGCGGCCUCUGUAGCAGUGUUCCCAGGGCACGGCACGGUGACAACUGCUGUUGACUGCUGUUCAUAAC